Chelonia mydas (Green sea turtle) is the source of this 1694-nucleotide long non-coding RNA. RefSeq lists it as uncharacterized. The transcript is spliced from 4 exons. NCBI's taxonomy places the organism in Eukaryota, Metazoa, Chordata, Testudines, Cheloniidae. The record is from RefSeq and is a predicted model, not a curated record.
AGUUCAGUUCCUUGCUAGAGCUGGAGAAGUGUGUGGUUGGCUGAGGGAGCUGUAGGACCUUGGAUGAGGCAGUGCUGCCAGAAGUCGGGGAGAAGGAGCCCUGAGCUGCUUGUAGGGACUACAUCAGGACAAGGCCUUGAGACAGACUGUGUCUGACUCGGCUGGAGGGUUGAGUCAGUGAAGACCCACCACAAACAGAGGGAGAGUACAGGCACGUGCACUUGGCCAGGGGCACCUGCGAGAGGUGAGUUGGCAGAUUAUGAGUUAGUGGUUUGACUGAACUCAUGGUGGACUUGAACUACAAUGCUGGAGCUGAACGCCCUUGAUCGCUGGUCUCCCUGGAUCUCUCGGAUCCAGAUUUGUGUUCUGGAGAGUUCAAGGGAGAGGUAACUUGGGGACUCCUGGAUGGACUUCUAUCUGAGCUGUGCAUACAGCUACACCUGAAAAGCCAUCACUAGGCAUGAAAUCUGGGGGUGGAAAUUGGAUCUGCCUUCCCACCGCCUGUACAGAGAGGCUCUCUUCCAAGGGAGGAACUAUGGAAUGGCCCCUACAUAGUGGAUAUGUUCCACAUCUCUUGGCAUGUACUCACCCUGACCCAUCCCUAUGUACCAUAUCUCCUGUAGAAUACUCCCACCGUUGGCAAGCAUGACCUAUCUGAGGAGCCUUUCAUGGGAGACUGAUAAAUUUUGGACGUGCAUCAAAUCUGUUUCUUCAGCCCUCAUGUGGGCAAUGUUGGCAUGGAGCUGACUAAAUGAAUUUAAUGCCCAGAUCUAGAAUUUGCACCUGUGUAUGUAAUGAACAAUGUGGGACCUUGCGCUCUGAUUCACAAACGGGUUUGAUGUACGUCUGAGUCCUGAGCUUUCACCGUUCCAUUAAGUUGAAUUAAAAUCUUGUAAAGCAGAUAAACCCUUUUGUUUUGGGGCAUCGCUGGGGUGAGGUAGAAAUGUCUACGGGUGGGAAGGUUAUUCCAUUACUGAACACAGUACUUAGUAUUUUGUACAUUUUUAUGCCAUGUCUGGUGCUGGCGGCUGCUGCUGGAAAGAGCACCCUUCACUGAAGAGACCAAUGGACUGACCCCGUAUGGCAUUUUCUAUUAAGUCUGUCUAAGUGUGCAGUGUUUGUGAAGGCUGGUGGUUAGUUCAGAAUAAAGUUGAUCAACUGGUCAGCUUUUAGUAUUUUAUGCAAAUUGAUUGACAGAAUGGAGCUAGCCAUCUGGCUGAAUGCUGCUGACAUCCAUCACCUGCAGAUUUCUCAGACUCUGAUUUUGAUUGCUGUUGCACUCAAAACUCAGCUCUCAGACAGCUUCCUCUCGUCCUUCCAACUGAGAUCUGCCUGUGGACAUUCUCAAGUGGUCUUUGAGUCUCAGACUGAACCAAGGCAAUGCAUCAGCAGCCCUGGGAAAGUCGGAUCAUUUAUCAUUACGUCUUCUCAUGAUGUUGCAUUAAUUAGUUCUAGUCUGCGGGUGCAGUGGGGUGAAGUGAAAGACUUUUAUCAGUGAUAAUUGGCAUGGUUUACCAGUAACUUAAAACUGAAGGAAGGGCAGGAGUAAUUAAUUAACAGAUCAGACUUUCUUAUAGAGUCCUUUCCCUGUUAAAUGGAAAAUGCUAAUGGAAACUUAAGAAUGUUUACUUUCACACUAAUGCUUAAGAGUAACUUAUCCACAGUGGGGCCUAUAAUCAUUAUUGCAAGUUAUU